This 264-nucleotide signal recognition particle RNA is filed under the name Candidatus Infernicultor aquiphilus. RNAcentral describes it as "Candidatus Atribacteria bacterium CG2_30_33_13 signal recognition particle sRNA large type". It matches the Rfam family "Bacterial large signal recognition particle RNA". From Rfam's summary of the family: The signal recognition particle (SRP) is a universally conserved ribonucleoprotein involved in the co-translational targeting of proteins to membranes. Archaeal SRP consists of a 7S RNA and homologues of the eukaryotic SRP19 and SRP54 proteins. In most bacteria, the SRP consists of a 4.5S RNA and the Ffh protein (a homologue of the eukaryotic SRP54 protein). RNAcentral also lists the same sequence under 1 other name. Lineage: Bacteria; Pseudomonadati; Atribacterota; Candidatus Phoenicimicrobiia; Candidatus Pheonicimicrobiales; Candidatus Phoenicimicrobiaceae. The record is from RNAcentral.
UCGUGCUAAACGGGGAGAUAGCGGUGCCCUGUAACCUGCAAUCCGCUCUAGCAGGGUUGAAUUCCUACUCGAGGUUUAAUCUUUUUAAGGCUGGCUAAGGUAAGUAGUGAUGAAGAUUGGGCCCUGCGCGACAAAGAAUUGUGAACUCCGUCAGAUCUGGAAAGAAGCAGCGGUAAGCAAAUCUCUUUGGUGCCACAGGUAAACCUGAUUGGAGCAAACUGCUUUAGUAUCGCUUAGAGAGGUAAGUCGGAGGUAGGUGCACGG